AGAAUGUAGUAAUACAAAAAUAAGGCGGGAGGUGCCUAGUUAUGUAAAUUCGAUUCACACGUAUAAAUUAAUUAUAAAUUUGUUUACCUUUCUUCUUCAGGCGGCAAAUUGAUCUGUUGAAUUUAAUAUAGGUGAUCGUAGUAAAUAAAAAGAUUUUUAAUAUAACAACUGUUUCUUUUUUAUUAAUUUUUUUUAAAAAUAUAAAACACUGUUCUAGGUUCCCGU
Non-coding RNA from Cinara cedri, 225 nucleotides. The record is from the annotation of a GenBank genome assembly. Lineage: Eukaryota; Metazoa; Arthropoda; Insecta; Hemiptera; Aphididae.